CCACUAGCCACUUGAGCACUUGAAGUGUGGCUGGUCUGAAUUGAAAUGUGCAGUAACUGUAAAAUAUAAAUUCAAAGACAUUGUGCAAAAAAUGUAUAAAACAUCUCAUUAAUGAUUUUGAGUACCGAAUGCAUGUAGAAAUAAUGCCAUUUUGGAUCUAGAGGGUUAAACAAAAUAUAUCAUUAAAUUAAUUUGACCUAUCGCUUUUUGUUUUUUAAAUGUAGUUACUAAAAAAAUAUAAAAUUACAUAUGCAACUUGAAUUUAUAUUUCAUAUUACAUUUCUCUUGUACCAUGCUGGUCUAGACUGUAAGCCCAUGUGAAGGGAAGAGCUGGUUAACUCUGCUCACAAUAGAAUCACCACACACAUAAGGAGCACCCUUAAUAUUUGCUCAAUAAAUGACUGUGAGAACUUGAGUGGAGUUGUGAAGGUCACCUGGGAGUUAACCACGUGAGGGUGUGUGUUUGUUUUACGUGAGGAGAGAACCUGGGCCGGCAGCACCUUUCUAACAGAGAAAACAGAAAAGCAAAUGUGUGGAGGCAUGGACUAGUAUGGAGGUUUUAGGGAACUGAUAUUUUAGCAGAGUAAACAUGGGCAGGAUCACCACGGAGAUGCGUAUGCCAUAAUGAGGUAUUUGAACUUUGCUGAACGCAAGGGGAACCAGACUCAAUGAAGAAUUUUAAGCAGGGAAGCAACUUGAUCAGAUUUAUGUUAAAGAACUAACAAAGAAGUCAGGCAGAAGCUGAGCUGAAGGCAGGGAUGCCACUUUGGAGGCAUUUUUGUAAUCCAGGCAAGAAGGAAUGAGGUCAUCAGCAAAGGAGAAUUGGGUACCGAGGAAGAACAGUGGACUAACUCCAACUUUCUGGAAGAGACUUAUCUCUUCCUCUUAAAUGGGGAUCACUAUGGGAGUGUUUUCUGGGAGUCUCUGAAGGAGGAAUCGCACAGAAUGCCAAAUGUUCUGAUCCUAGAGGCUCAGAGACUGGAGUGGCCCUAGUUCCACAGUUUCUCAUCCUUUGCUCUUCAGUAACAUCAAACCUGGUCUCUACAAGAACAUCCCCACUUCCAAAAGACCACUGUAUAUAUCUUCUAGGACUGGCACAUGCUUUUGAGCUUAACAAAGGUAUAGGUUGGUAAUUAACAUACCCUUUUAAAUGUGUCCCCUCCAAAGUU
RNAcentral lists this long non-coding RNA (1169 nucleotides) under Pan troglodytes (chimpanzee). RNAcentral's name for it is "lncRNA (ENSPTRG00000053639.1)". The record is from RNAcentral. Lineage: Eukaryota; Metazoa; Chordata; Mammalia; Primates; Hominidae.